CACGUAGGUGACAAACGUUAUCCGGAAUUACUGGGCGUAAAGGGUCCGUAGGCGGGAUGGCAAGUCUGGUGUGAAAGCCCUCGGCUCAACUGGGGGAAGCCAUUGGAGACUGCCGUUCUUGAAUCCUAGCGAGGUCGGUGGAAUUCCCGGUGUAGUGGUGGAAUGCGUAGAGAUCGGGAGGAACCUCGAAAGCGAAGGCAACCGGCUAGCUGCGGAUUGACGCUGAGGGACGAGAGCGUGGGGAGCGAACAGG
RNAcentral lists this ribosomal RNA (253 nucleotides) under uncultured prokaryote. RNAcentral's name for it is "partial 16S ribosomal RNA". It matches the Rfam family "Bacterial small subunit ribosomal RNA", at positions 524 to 776 of the family's 1533-position model. The record is from RNAcentral.